GUAAGUUCGAGGUAGCCGGAAUGUGUAAUGUAGCGGUGAAAUGCUUAGAUAUUACACAGAACACCGAUUGCGAAGGCAGCUUACUAAACUACGAUUGACGCUGAGGUACGAAAGCGUGGGGAGCGAACAGGAUUAGAUACCCUGGUAGUCCACGCUGUAAACGAUGAUCACUCGUUGUUGGCAAUACACCGUCAGCGACUGAGCGAAAGCAUUAAGUGAUCCACCUGGGGAGUACGACCGCAAGGUUGAAACUCAAAGGAAUUGACGGGGGCCCGCACAAGCGGAGGAACAUGUGGUUUAAUUCGAUGAUACGCGAGGAACCUUACCUGGGCUUAAAUGUAGAACGACGGACCGGGAAACUGGUCUUUCUUCGGACGGUCUGCAAGGUGCUGCAUGGCUGUCGUCAGCUCGUGCCGUGAGGUGUCGGGUUAAGUCCCAUAACGAGCGCAACCCUCAUCAUUAGUUGCCAGCGGGUAAUGCCGGGGACUCUAAUGAAACUGCCGGUGUAAACCGAGAGGAAGGUGGGGAUGACGUCAAGUCAGCACGGCCCUUAUGUCCAGGGCUACACACGUGUUACAAUGGUCGGUACAAAGGGCAGCUACCUGGCGACAGGAUGCUAAUCUCGAAAACCGAUCUCAGUUCGGAUCGAAGUCUGCAACUUGACUUCGUGAAGCUGGAUUCGCUAGUAAUCGCGCAUCAGCCAUGGCGCGGUGAAUACGUUCCCGGGCCUUGUACACACCGCCCGCCAAGCCAUGGAAGCUGGGGGUACCUGAAGUCCGUAACC
RNAcentral lists this ribosomal RNA (784 nucleotides) under uncultured organism. Its description in RNAcentral is "bacterial SSU rRNA". It matches the Rfam family "Bacterial small subunit ribosomal RNA", at positions 646 to 1435 of the family's 1533-position model. The record is from RNAcentral.